RNAcentral lists this long non-coding RNA (421 nucleotides) under Capra hircus (goat). RNAcentral's name for it is "lncRNA (ENSCHIG00010008923.1)". Lineage: Eukaryota; Metazoa; Chordata; Mammalia; Artiodactyla; Bovidae. The record is from RNAcentral.
GCCCCACCCCGUCCAUUGGGAAAGAGGUAUAUAUCUUUAGGGAAUUCUCUGCAGCUGGGUAAGGGGUGUCAUUUAGAAGAAAUCCAACCUGUGGUAUUCCUUGCUAAAAGCCACGCUGACGGCAGUGUGACCCUGGCACCCAGGAAAGUUCCUUCCUAUCUCUGGGGGCCAGUCUGCCCGCCGCUACCUCUUCUCCGAGGGCUGGAGGACCGGGAUGGUCCAGAUUCUCACUGUGAUUGGCUGACAUCAGGCUCCAGGUAUUCUCUUUUCUGCUUUCUACUAUGAAGCCGCCUUCAGGGGCUCACAGAGGUUUUUCGCAACCUAUGACUUCUUCCCAAUAGAUCUAUGAAAAUACCGAGAGAACAGUUCUGAGAGGCACAAAGAUGGUGAGGAACUUCAAAGAACUUUGCUCAUCAUUUUG